This 779-nucleotide ribosomal RNA is filed under the name uncultured Neocallimastigales. RNAcentral's name for it is "partial large subunit ribosomal RNA". It matches the Rfam family "Eukaryotic large subunit ribosomal RNA", at positions 22 to 644 of the family's 3401-position model. The record is from RNAcentral. Lineage: Eukaryota; Fungi; Neocallimastigomycota; Neocallimastigomycetes; Neocallimastigales.
UCUAUACAUGACUCUGCGCAUAUCAAUAAGCGGAGGAAAAGAAACUAACAAGGAUUCCCUUAGUAACGGCGAGUGAAGCGGGAAGAGCUCAAAUUUGAAAUCUUCAAGGUUCUACCUUGACGAAUUGUAGUUUAUAGAAGUGUUUUCUGUUAGUAGGAGUGGCAAAAGGUUCUUUGGAAUAGGACAUCAUAGAGGGUGAGAAUCCCGUAUUUGGUCAUUCCUUCUAGCGUUGUGAUACACUUUCAACGAGUCGGAUUGUUUGGGAAUGCAGUCCAAAAUGGGUGGUAAAUUUCAUCUAAAGCUAAAUAUUGGCGAGAGGACCGAUAGCGAACAAGUACCGUGAGGGAAAGAUGAAAAGAACUUUGAAAAGAGAGUUAAACAGUACGUGAAAUUGUCAAAAGGGAAGCGUUUGACACCAGUGUUGUUUUUCCGAAAAUCAAUUACGAAUGUUUUGCUUUUUAGGAAGUUAUGACUUCAUCGGCUUGCUUCUCUCUUUACGAAGCUUUCUUAAUGCACUUUUCGGUUAACAAGUCAACAUCAAUUUCUUUUGUUGUAAAAGGGUACGAGGAAGGUGGCUUUCUUUUCGGAGAAAGUGUUUAUAGCCUUGUACCUCUGCAAUCGGAGAGAUUGAGGUCUGCAGCGUAGAUCCUUCGGGGUUAGAUACAUUUGUGCUAAGUUAUAGCUUUUCAUAGACAACUUGUUGACUAUGUUUAGUCUUGUAGCUUACUCGCUUAUGCUAUUUUACCUACGCUUAGGAUGUUGAUAGUCACAGCGUGUAC